RNAcentral lists this ribosomal RNA (499 nucleotides) under uncultured Glomus. RNAcentral describes it as "SSU rRNA". It matches the Rfam family "Eukaryotic small subunit ribosomal RNA", at positions 569 to 1073 of the family's 1831-position model. Lineage: Eukaryota; Fungi; Glomeromycota; Glomeromycetes; Glomerales; Glomeraceae. The record is from RNAcentral.
AGCAGCCGCGGUAAUUCCAGCUCCAAUAGCGUAUAUUAAAGUUGUUGCAGUUAAAAAGCUCGUAGUUGAAUUUCGGGAUUAAUAUGCUGGUCGUGCCAUUGGUACGUACUAGUAUUAUUGAUUUCUCCCUUCUGAUGAAUCAUGAUGUCAUUAAUUUGAUGUCAUGGGGAAUCAGGACUGUUACUUUGAAAAAUUAGAGUGUUUAAAGCAGGCUCGCGCUUGAAUACAUUAGCAUGGAAUAAUGAAAUAGGACGUUUGAUUCUAUUUUGUUGGUUUCUAGGAUUGACGUAAUGAUUAAUAGGGAUAGUUGGGGGCAUUAGUAUUCAAUUGUCAGAGGUGAAAUUCUUGGAUUUAUUGAAGACUAACUACUGCGAAAGCAUUUGCCAAGGAUGUUUUCAUUAAUCAAGAACGAAAGUUAGGGGAUCGAAGACGAUCAGAUACCGUCGUAGUCUUAACCAUAAACUAUGCCGACUAGGGAUCGGAUGAUGUUAAUUAUGUA